Molecule: non-coding RNA, 575 nt
Organism: Peromyscus maniculatus bairdii (prairie deer mouse)
Lineage: Eukaryota; Metazoa; Chordata; Mammalia; Rodentia; Cricetidae
Source: RefSeq, a predicted model, not a curated record
CAUUUCCGGGUCCUCCCCGUGUCCCCAGCUCAGCGAGGAGCUCCUCUGUCCGCCCCAGUUUACCCUCCGGAAGGGGUGAGAAUCACUGGGAUGGGAAAAGCAGAAUUAGAUCUCCCCGCAAAGCGUUGAUUUGAGUUGGCAGGAGUCAUUCCAAAUGUUUCCUGCAGGGAGGACGGCAAGGCAGCCCGGCGGCCCCCGUGGAGCCAGGAGGACGGCAGCCAAGGAUGCAGGCAUGCAGAUGGGAAGGAUGUCCGUGGUGCCUGCCCGAGAGUGGCGGCAGCUUUGAGGUCCCACGGGUUAACUCCGGGGAGAAAACGAAAAUGACUUACACAGCCCAUGGUGAGACAGAUGACCGGAGCCUUCCAAAGAGGCCACCAAGAGGCCUGCCACAGGACAGAAGAAGCUGAUAAGGUGGCUCGGCCAGAAAAAGCGCUUGCCGGGAAGCCUGGUGACCUGAGUUCAUUCGGGACCCACACUGCCGAAUGUGAGAACUGACUCCUACAAGGCGACCUCUGACCUCCACACACGUGCUGGGCCGUGCACGCCCCCGCCUCCUCGACAGAUACAUGAAGAAA